This 77-nucleotide transfer RNA is filed under the name Clostridium sp. RNAcentral's name for it is "tRNA-Ala". It matches the Rfam family "tRNA". Rfam says of the family: Transfer RNA (tRNA) molecules are approximately 80 nucleotides in length. Their secondary structure includes four short double-helical elements and three loops (D, anti-codon, and T loops). The record is from RNAcentral. Lineage: Bacteria; Bacillati; Bacillota; Clostridia; Eubacteriales; Clostridiaceae. RNAcentral also lists the same sequence under 3 other names.
GGGGAAUUAGCUCAGUUGGCUAGAGCAUUUGCCUUGCACGCAAAGGGUCAAGGGUUCGAGUCCCUCAUUCUCCACCA